GGGAAAGCACGGCCUAGCAUCGGCAACCUGGCUGGAGGAGGAGGGAAGACACGGAGAAAAAUGUGACAAUAUACUGUAUGACCUUUAUUUGUAGAAACACCAGUGUUUGACACUUCACAGAAAACAGAGACAAUCCAGCAAACAAUUCUGCCAUCUACCCAGGAGACCUCCUCCAUUGCUCUUCUGUACUGGUACCUAGAAGAAACAGUUCAUUUGUUUACUUCAUAUUUGAAAACACUCUGUGGCACAGCAUUCAAAUAGGAAUGAAUAUUUGUCAGCGUAAAGCUAAAGAGUGUAGCUGCUGACAAGUAGUAUAAGAUUAUAUUAAUGGUUUUCAAGUUAUUCCACUCUCCAUAAGGAAGAAUUAUAGAACUUCCACAUCUGAGCACUGAUAACAGAGACUUAAAUUUCACAAAGUGUAGAAACCGAGGCCAAUUUUGGCAGAGGUACAAUAGAAAAUUACUUUAAAACCUUUUAGUCACAACUCCCAGUAGUCUCCCAAAAGCCAUCAGUAGUUACAACCUACAGUUUGAGAAACAAAGCAAUAAUGACCAAUGUAUCAUUUGUUUUUACUAAUGUAUUUAUUUAUAGCUGUAGGAAUAAAGGUGUAUUUCAUAGAUUACUCAUGUGACUGUUUUCCUCCAAUUUGUUAGAAACAUAUUUGCAGGUAACAUAAAUACACAAGUUUACAGGUUCCCAAGAAGUCCUAUCUUCAAGUGUUCACACAGAAUGACAGCAGUUAUUUGAUAGUGUUUUCAAGAGAAGCAAAAAAGCUACAAACACUAUCUACAUAGGUUUA
This is a long non-coding RNA of Malaclemys terrapin pileata, 799 nucleotides long. RefSeq lists it as uncharacterized. Lineage: Eukaryota; Metazoa; Chordata; Testudines; Emydidae. The record is from RefSeq and is a predicted model, not a curated record. The transcript is spliced from 2 exons.